This 667-nucleotide ribosomal RNA is filed under the name Palythoa sp. 'sakurajimensis' JDR-2006. Its description in RNAcentral is "partial 16S ribosomal RNA". It matches the Rfam family "Bacterial large subunit ribosomal RNA", at positions 1783 to 2462 of the family's 2925-position model. The record is from RNAcentral. Lineage: Eukaryota; Metazoa; Cnidaria; Anthozoa; Zoantharia; Sphenopidae.
UGGAACACGGGCCUCGACUGUUUACCAAAAACAUAGCCCUCGGCCAAUAUGAAAAUAGAUGUAUAGAGGGUGAUGCCUGCCCAAUGGUUGUAUCUAAAAGCGGUUGAUAAAAGUCGACCUCGUAAGGACAAUUGAAUGGCCGCGGUAACACUGACCGUGAUAAUGUAGCGUAAUCAAUAGCCAAUUAAUUGUUGGCCAGUAUGAAUGGCGCCACGAAGGCCCCACUGUCUUAAGGAAAUUCCCAGUGAAAUUGAAUUCGUAGUGAAGAUGCUACGUCCAAUUUGUUAGACGAAAAGACCCCGUUGAGCUUUACUGGGGCACUUACACGGCCCCGGCCUUCCCGUGUCCGGGAACCGGCCGAAUUUAAAUGGGUGGUUUAGACUAUGUGGCAGCCCCCCGCCGGGGCAGAUGAAACCCCACUCCCCCAUGUCAAAGGGGCUAACCCCCCCCUUGGGGGGGACAGUGUAAGUAGGACAGUUUGGUUGGGGCGACCGCCUUUUAAAGAGUAACGAAGGUGCGCUUAAGGUGCGCAAUUAAUGACUGAAGCCUGACUGCGAGGGGGACACCCCGAGCAGACACCCCUAAGCCCGCCCGAAGGGCGGCGGUGGGGUGGGCCAUAGUGACCCGUUAAUUUAGAGUGGAAUAGUUAACGAUCAACGAAUAAAAG